Molecule: unclassified non-coding RNA, 330 nt
Filed under: soil metagenome
Description: partial contains 5.8S ribosomal RNA, internal transcribed spacer 2, and large subunit ribosomal RNA
Rfam family: 5.8S ribosomal RNA (bases 1-120)
Source: RNAcentral
GAUGAAGAACGCAGCGAAAUGCGAUAAGUAGUGUGAAUUGCAGAAUUCAGUGAAUCAUCGAAUCUUUGAACGCACAUUGCGCCCUCUGGUAUUCCGGGGGGCAUGCCUGUUCGAGCGUCAUUAUAACCACUCAAGCUCUCGCUUGGUAUUGGGGUUCGCGGUUUCGCGGCCCCUAAAAUCAGUGGCGGUGCCUGUCGGCUCUACGCGUAGUAAUACUCCUCGCGAUUGAGUCCGGUAGGUCUACUUGCCAGCAACCCCUAAUUUUUUUAAGGUUGACCUCGGAUCAGGUAGGGAUACCCGCUGAACUUAAGCAUAUCAAUAAGCGGAGGA